UCAGAUUGCAGGCUGCAACCCACCUGCAUGAAGUCGGAAUUGCUAGUAAUCGCGGAUCAGCAUGCCGCGGUGAAUACGUUCCCGGGCCUUGUACACACCGCCCGUCACACCAUGGGAGCCGGUAAUACCCGAAGUCAGUAGUCCAACCUCGUGAGGACGCUGCCGAAGGUAGGAUUGGCGACUGGGGUGAAGUCGUAACAAGGUAGC
This 207-nucleotide ribosomal RNA is filed under the name uncultured bacterium. RNAcentral describes it as "partial 16S ribosomal RNA". It matches the Rfam family "Bacterial small subunit ribosomal RNA", at positions 1293 to 1500 of the family's 1533-position model. The record is from RNAcentral.